UAUAUUUCACUUUUCUGGGUAUUGGCCAGAAUCCUAUAGUUUUCUUCCUUCUCUUUAUGUUUGUUCUCUUUUUCCUUCCCUCCAGCUUGACCAUCUGUCUCCCUACUUUUGCUUCUGUGUAACUACAGACUAUGUACCUAGAGGUUAAAGAACACAUGUCAUCAAAGGAUUCAGUUUUUGGAAGUCAUCUCUGAUCUACGUGAUAUACAAGCUGGGAUGGAGAAAAUUGUGAAAAGGACCUGAAAGUGUUGAUAAGAAAAUAAGAGAAAGAUGUCUUCAAAAAGGGAAGUGAUCUAGAAUUUUCCCAGCAUAGUGCUGAAUGCAUUGUGAAACUACAGACUUGGUUUGUUUGCAAUUCACAAAUAGGAGCCUAAAUAGGAGCUAUCUUCCAGAUGACAGCCAGAGGAGAGACUUGUAAUUUGGCAUUAGCAUCAAUGGAGAUAUUCUGCGAUUUAUGGUUUUGGCAAGUGGAGGCCAAGGAAAAAUUAAGAUAUUUCAGUUUUGGAUACAUAGAUUUUUCGGCAAGUUCUCCCACAGCCUGCAACCUGAUCAAAUGCAACGUGGUUGGACUGGUGCCUUGUCAUGCUCUUGGAAUUCCCUCUCGUCCUGCUCCAUAGAAGGCUGCUUUCAGCUAUCCAAUGAUCCUACUGCCAGAGGGAGUAGAAAGAGAGCCAGCAUUAUGGAUGUACUGCAGAGUUUCUCUUCUGUGAUGAUGAAGCUGUUGAGUUAGGAGCCAACCUUCUGCUUCUAGGUUUUAAUUCAUCUUGGCCUGCUGUUCAGGUUCAAUGGUUCUCAGAAUCUGGUUGCACCAAUUAAACCAGAAUCUCUGGGGGAAAGGACCCAGCCAUCAAUAUUUUUUAAAGGUCCUAAAUGAUUUUACUAUACAGGUAGGCUUGAGAGCCACUAGUUUUAGUGCAACUGUGAAUGGAUGCCUUCUAGAAGCUACUGCAUUAGAUGCCUCACUACCUGCUGACUUCUCCUUACAUCACCCAGAAUAAUUGUUUUUGUGUGUUGUCGUUCAGCAGUGAGAAAAGUAGCAUUAAGUUUAGAGUUCUCCAUUUUUCUCACAGCCUUCAUUUGCCUUUAGUUUUUUUUUUCCUUUGGAUAAAUGGAUAUUCAUGACAGUUUGCAAAUAUCUUUUCUAUUUACCACCUGUGGCAUUGUACUGCUUUCUGAAUAAUGGACUUUGUGAGUUAGUUAUUUGCAACAUAGCUAGCAGAUAUAUCUUUUGGCUGGAUUGUACUUUUGUCUAUUUUUUCAUUGCUGAUGUAGGAUUCUCUAUAUUUUUAUGUUCCUUUGAGUAUAUAAUUACCAGCCAAGGGAGGGAAAGAUGUUUAUGCUUUGUGAUAAUUAUCAUUUUGACUAUUAUAACUGCCGUAUAAUGAGUACAUAGUAUUAUCAGACACCAACUAUAAACCAUACAUGAAUUAUCACAUUUUUCCUUCACAAGAAUUUUGAGAGGUAGAUAAAGUAUCUCCAUUUUAUAAAUAAUUCUCUAGUUGUUAUUUUACAUGAAAACAUUCAGAUGAAUUAUGAAAAAUGACAAAAGGCACUCUAUCCAAUGAUUUACUAGUGAUGGAUUCCAGGGUAAAGAAGAGGGUAGAGAGAAAAAUUGAUGCAAGGUAUUCUACUACUGCAAAUUCAGGCUUUCCUAGGACCAGGCUCUAUAAGAGUCAAGCCUGGUGGUACAAUUGGAAACUACUCUCCAGCCAAUAUUAUCUAGAACCAGC
Vulpes vulpes (red fox) is the source of this 1730-nucleotide long non-coding RNA. The record is from Ensembl. Lineage: Eukaryota; Metazoa; Chordata; Mammalia; Carnivora; Canidae.